Molecule: long non-coding RNA, 758 nt
Filed under: Homo sapiens (human)
Lineage: Eukaryota; Metazoa; Chordata; Mammalia; Primates; Hominidae
Description: HSALNT0302066
Source: RNAcentral
CCAGCCAGCGGUUCAGAUCCGCCUUCAUUCUGACUGCCCUGGAGGCAAAGCCAGCCAAUGCCCUUCUCCUGCUUUCCCGGGUCACCACCUGGGCUCUCCUGAAGGGAUUCUGCUGAUAAUCAAGGUGAAUGAGCAAACAGCACAGAAAAAGAAACAGCAGUAUAUGUGGAAGAAAGCAAGAAAAAUCAACUGGCCUGGAACCUAAGACUUGUCCAAAGAUGUCACAGAGAGUAAAAUGAGAAAAAUCCAGUAGCCCGUGCCCAGAGCAGUUCCUCGUACCCAGCAGAAGGCUAACAAGCCCUGAGAUGAAUGAUGCUCUUCCCAAGGAAGGCAGAGGAGGCGACAGUCCAUUUGCGUUCUCUCCUCUGCAAGUACAGGAUCUCGUUUGAUUCUCAAAACCACCCUAGAGGAGACAGGAGGCACCUGAGGCCCAGAGACGUGAAGCCACCUGUCCAAGGCCAUACAGCAGAUAACUUAUUCUGGAGGAAGACACCUGCCAUGCCGUGAGGACAGUCAAGCAGUUCUGUGGAGAGAUCCAUGUGGUGAGAAACAGGGGCCUCCUGUCAACAGGAAGAACAACCUGGCAGGCCUGUCUUGGAUUCAGAGCCUCCAGCCCCAGUCGAGCCUUCAGAUAACUGCACCCUUGGCUGUCAUCUCAACUGCAAUCUCACGACAGACCCUGAGCUGGAACUACUCUGUUUACCAAUGCCUGGCCCACAGAAAGACUAUGAGAUAAAACAAGUAUAUUGUUUUUAGAA